UAGUAUGUGGGGCAGCAGGCGCGAAACAUUUACACUGCACGCCAGUGCGAUAAGGGAGUGCCAACUGCGUGGGCAUAGAGCCUGCGCUUUUGUCCACCGUAGGGAGGUGGACGAAUAAGGGGUGGGCAAGACCGGUGCCAGCCGCCGCGGUAAUACCGGCAGCCCGAGUGAUGGCCGAUUUUAUUGGGCCUAAAGCGUCCGUAGCCGGCCGCGCAAGUCCCUCGGGAAAUCCACCCGCUCAACGGGUGGGCGUCCGGGGGAAACUGCUUGGCUUGGGACCGGAAGGCGGUGAGGGGUACUUCCGGGGUAGGAGUGAAAUCCCGUAAUCCUGGGAGGACCACCGAUGGCGAAAGCAUCUCACGAGGACGGAUCCGACGGUGAGGGACGAAAGCUAGGGUAUCGAACCGGAUUAGAUACCCGGGUAGUCCUAGCAGUAAACGAUGUGAGCUAGGUGUG
Molecule: ribosomal RNA, 456 nt
Filed under: uncultured archaeon
Lineage: Archaea
Also listed under: 1 other name
Description: bacterial SSU rRNA
Rfam family: Archaeal small subunit ribosomal RNA
Source: RNAcentral